AUAUAUAAAGGGUGUACUUACAAAAACAGUGCAAUAUUAAAUGACAGGUGGGUUUUUAAGAUGGGCGUGUACGGAAACACACAAAAUUUUAGACGCUGCAACCGGUAGUGAGUCAGGGUUGGCUGCCAUUUCAGAGCGUUAUCGAAGCUUAAACACACAGACAGCUCCUGCAUACAGCGUAAACAGGAACUAUUGCAGUACGACGCAGGAAGAACCCUUAAAACCACUGAGCUAGAGACGCGAGAAUCCAUCUUAUUAAUGCAGUUUACACAUACAAGUCUUCACAGAGACAUUACAUAAACCAGCAGGUUCACACGAAGAAAGACGCGCCACGUGCAAACUCGUGAGACGUUUGAAUGCUUGAGAUUCUUCUUCCUUCAAGAUGCUUUCAGGAUCAAAUGCGCUGGCGUUCUACGUCAUGGUACUUGGGAAUGUUCUGGGUGCCCAAACCAAGUUCAUUGAGCGACUGCAAAAACGUCUUCAUCUCCGUGAAGUGUAUUCAGUGGAGGAGUGUGACGUUGUCAUUGCUUUUGUCCCUGUCGUGUCUCGGGCUGGAACGGACAUACAAUCUGCUCUUCAAAAGCUUGAGACGAGUCAGCCUGUUGUCCUCGUGGUGUUCCAUCACACGUUUGAUGUAAAUUACGUUGCUCCAGAUAGCAAACUGUCUGUGAAGAAGGAUGGUGUGUUUGCUGUGGACAUCCUCUUUCAUGAAGAUGAUGGACCUUUGAACAGCCUGCACAAUGACAAGAUGCUGAAAUCUACUACUGAUUAUCUGAUCUCUAAGGGCGCUUCACCGGAUAUUCAGGUAAGUUUUGAACAGCUAGCAAAGAAAACAGUUUUACAGUACUGCACUAAUUCUACCUCUUUUCCCGACAGACUGAUCCAGCAGAAACAUCCAGACGAGCUCAACUAAGGCUGAUUGUAGUCUCCGUUUUGCUCGGUUGUGUUGUUGCUGGUGUUGUUUCUGCAAUAACUUGGAUAUUCAUUGUUAAUUUUCAUAAACUGUAAAUAUGCAGCAAACUAAUCUGUCUUAAACCACAUAAAAUAACGAACCAACAAAUGUAAUAUCUUUCUCAUAAUCAAGAUCACAUUACGAUAAACAACAACAACAACAACAACAAAAAAAAAGCCCAAAAUAAAAUUUUAAGGAGAGGUUAAAGAUUUCAUUAGCACCUUAGCAUAAUUAUUCUGCUAGUAAGUAAUAGCUAAUAGCUAGCUGUAUGCAGUAGUCAAUGUUAUCUAACGUUGAGCAGCAUCAGAUAAGUUAGAUAAAACAACAUUAAUAUUAGAAAAUUUGACCAGUGCCUUCAGAAGGUCUGAAUAUGUCAAGAAGUGACCUGCCCGUGAUAAAAAGUUAUCUGUAAGUGUAUUUAAUAAACAGCACAGAAAUAUAGAAAAGAUCGAGUUAGGAGGGUAAUGUUGGCUAGUUAGCGUAAAUAUGAAUUGGAUCAGAUAACAAAAUACACCAUAAAAGUACACAUACCCUGAGGGUAAGUUUUGUUCUCAUGCUGUCUUUUAGCUAGCUAGCUAACGUUAAUCGCUUCGCUAUCUAGAAUUAUUAAGUUGACUGUAAACAAUGUAACAUCUGGUAAGGUGCUCGAUUAAUCCACAGUAUUUCUGUCAAACAUGCAGCAUUUUUAAGCAAUGAGUGUGUCUCCAUCACGGCUCCAGAGCACUAGAAGGUCAUCUGUAGUGUCUGAUGGGAAGCCGAGGAGCGAGGAUAGUGCCCUUGGGAUAAAUAUGUGAAUGGGAUCUGUCUCUGAUUAAGGAGCAGAAGUUGUCAACAAGGAGACAGAAGAAGUAAUGUUUUUCCCUUACUGUGUCAUAUUCUUGUUAUUUAUGCUGCGCUUACCAUUUAUGGGGAAAAAAAAAAAGUUCAUAUUCACAGUUGAGUUGGAAUUUUGGGAGCUUUCAUACUGCCUGUAUUUUUCAGAACAUUUUGAGGCAGUUCAGUAUGUACACGUGCUGUGUGUCCAAGAAAAUGGUCUUAAAUACUCGUUUUAGUUUCUAUUUCAUUUCAAAAUGAAUUAGAGCUGAUAAAUUUUCACUGCCAUUAUUAAUAAGAUAUUGUGGUAAUGUUUACCAUGAAUACAGCUAAAUGCUAAUGCUGG
This is a long non-coding RNA of Ictalurus punctatus (channel catfish), 2111 nucleotides long. NCBI's taxonomy places the organism in Eukaryota, Metazoa, Chordata, Actinopteri, Siluriformes, Ictaluridae. The record is from Ensembl.